GGUUCUUUAGCUCAGUUGGUAGAGCGACGCUCUGUUAAAGCGUGGGUCGUGGGUUCAAGUCCCACAGGAACCGCCA
Molecule: transfer RNA, 76 nt
Filed under: Clostridium sp.
Lineage: Bacteria; Bacillati; Bacillota; Clostridia; Eubacteriales; Clostridiaceae
Also listed under: 1 other name
Description: tRNA-Asn
Rfam family: tRNA
About the family: Transfer RNA (tRNA) molecules are approximately 80 nucleotides in length. Their secondary structure includes four short double-helical elements and three loops (D, anti-codon, and T loops).
Source: RNAcentral